UGAACUGCCUAUAUAUUUUUAUUUCUUUUUCCGACUCUGAAAUUUAAAGAAAUGAAAUUAAACAAAUAGGAAAAUCCAAAAAAAAAUGAGAAACAGAGGUUCAAAAGAAGAUCCUCUUGAAACUUCCUAAGUCUCGAGCAAUUUUUUUCUGAAAAAUUCUCCGAAAACUCUCUCCGAAAAUCCUCUAAAAAAAAAAUCCCCCUUACACAAGAAAUGACCUCACCUUAUAUAUACCUCCAGGCUUCUCGAACCUUCUCCUUUUAUCUCCAAGAAAUACCCAAAACAAAAAUCCUCCUCCCAAAACAGAUUUCUCACCCCGUUUUUGAUGAAAGAGAGACAAAUGGAGGGAGUAGAUUAGUUCAAAUCUAAUCUAACGCUCCCUAUUUUUCCUUAUUUUCAUCUGGAGGGUGAAAAAUCUGAGAUAAAUCAAAGAAGCAUGUAAGGGGAAAGGGAAUCUAUCAGAAACGGUUAGAAAUAUGGUGACGGGGAGAGAGGGGAACGCGUGAGGUGAGAUUGGGGCUCACUCGCCUGAAUUUUGGCAAUUUUUUGGGAGUGAAUUCGGGUGUU
RNAcentral lists this long non-coding RNA (567 nucleotides) under Nicotiana tabacum (common tobacco). Its description in RNAcentral is "long non-coding RNA (NTAB_LNC010919)". The record is from RNAcentral. Lineage: Eukaryota; Viridiplantae; Streptophyta; Magnoliopsida; Solanales; Solanaceae.